Molecule: small RNA, 136 nt
Filed under: Haemophilus influenzae
Lineage: Bacteria; Pseudomonadati; Pseudomonadota; Gammaproteobacteria; Pasteurellales; Pasteurellaceae
Description: Histidine operon leader
Rfam family: Histidine operon leader
About the family: At least 6 amino acid operons are known to be regulated by attenuation. In each a leader sequence of 150-200 bp is found upstream of the first gene in the operon.
Source: RNAcentral
CAUCAUCACCACACCUGAUUAUCUUUCAGGCGUGAUUGUAUGUUUGGAAGAUAAUAAAAUAUCUUCCGAGUGUAAUAAAAAUCAGUGUAAAAGCAAUAAAUACCCCCUCGGAAGGCAAUUUUCGAGGGGUUUUCUU